AUUGAACGCUGGCGGCAGGCUUAACACAUGCAAGUCGAACGGUAACAGGUAAGUACUUGUACUUAUGCUGACGAGUGGCGGACGGGUGAGUAAUGUUUGGGAAUCUAGCUUAUGGAGGGGGAUAACGACGGGAAACAGUCGCUAAUACCGCGUAGUAUCGGAAGAUGAAAGUGCGGGACCUUAGGGCCGCAUGCCAUAGGAUGAGCCCAAGUGGGAUUAGGUAGUUGGUAGGGUAAAGGCCUACCAAGCCUGCGAUCUCUAGGUGGUGUGAUAGGAUGGCCAGCCACACCGGGACUGAGACACGGCCCGGACUCCUACGGGAGGCAGCAGUGGGGAAUAUUGCGCAAUGGGGGCAACCCUGACGCAGCCAUGCCGCGUGAAUUAAGAAGGCCUUCGGGUUGUAAAGUUUUUUCGGUGUUGAGGAAGGAUGUUGUGUAAAUA
This 441-nucleotide ribosomal RNA is filed under the name Aggregatibacter sp. oral taxon H29. RNAcentral describes it as "bacterial SSU rRNA". It matches the Rfam family "Bacterial small subunit ribosomal RNA", at positions 30 to 465 of the family's 1533-position model. The record is from RNAcentral. Lineage: Bacteria; Pseudomonadati; Pseudomonadota; Gammaproteobacteria; Pasteurellales; Pasteurellaceae.